RNAcentral lists this transfer RNA (85 nucleotides) under Candidatus Adiutrix sp. RNAcentral's name for it is "tRNA-Leu". It matches the Rfam family "tRNA". From Rfam's summary of the family: Transfer RNA (tRNA) molecules are approximately 80 nucleotides in length. The record is from RNAcentral. Lineage: Bacteria; Pseudomonadati; Thermodesulfobacteriota; Desulfarculia; Candidatus Adiutricales; Candidatus Adiutricaceae.
GCGAGAGUGGCGGAACUGGUAGACGCACCGGCCUUAGGAGCCGGCGGCCAAAGCCAUAGGGGUUCGACUCCCCUCUCUCGCACCA